Corchorus olitorius is the source of this 102-nucleotide non-coding RNA. Lineage: Eukaryota; Viridiplantae; Streptophyta; Magnoliopsida; Malvales; Malvaceae. The record is from Rfam.
UAAUGAAGGAAGCAUGGUAGUGUGCACAGAGAAUGAAUGGUCGACAUGUCUGCUCCCUCUGAUUCUCCAUCUGAUGAGGGGGCCUGGUUUAGACCCACAUUU